Molecule: ribosomal RNA, 497 nt
Filed under: uncultured bacterium
Lineage: Bacteria
Description: partial 16S ribosomal RNA
Rfam family: Bacterial small subunit ribosomal RNA
Source: RNAcentral
GACGAACGCUGGCGGCGUGCCUAAUACAUGCAAGUAGAACGCUGAAGAGAGGAGCUUGCUCUUCUUGGAUGAGUUGCGAACGGGUGAGUAACGCGUAGGUAACCUGCCUGGUAGCGGGGGAUAACUAUUGGAAACGAUAGCUAAUACCGCAUAAAAUGGAUUAUCGCAUGAUAAUCCAUUUAAAGGUGCAAAUGCAUCACUACCAGAUGGACCUGCGUUGUAUUAGCUAGUUGGUGGGGUAACGGCUCACCAAGGCGACGAUACAUAGCCGACCUGAGAGGGUGAUCGGCCACACUGGGACUGAGACACGGCCCAGACUCCUACGGGAGGCAGCAGUAGGGAAUCUUCGGCAAUGGACGGAAGUCUGACCGAGCAACGCCGCGUGAGUGAAGAAGGUUUUCGGAUCGUAAAGCUCUGUUGUAAGAGAAGAACGAGUGUGAGAGUGGAAAGUUCACACUGUGACGGUAUCUUACCAGAAAGGGACGGCUAACUACGUG